This is a long non-coding RNA of Octopus sinensis (East Asian common octopus), 85 nucleotides long. RefSeq lists it as uncharacterized. The record is from RefSeq and is a predicted model, not a curated record. NCBI's taxonomy places the organism in Eukaryota, Metazoa, Mollusca, Cephalopoda, Octopoda, Octopodidae. The transcript is spliced from 3 exons.
GUAUGUGUGUUUUUGUGUGUGUAUGUGUAUGUAAGUGUUGUAGUUUUCUUGAAGCAUUGUAAUAUCAAAGAAGAUAAAAAGAGAG